GACGAACGCUGGCGGCGUGCUUAACACAUGCAAGUCGAACGCUGAACCCGCUUCGGUGGGGGAUGAGUGGCGAACGGGUGAGUAACACGUGGGCAACCUGCCCCCGGCUCUGGGAUAACUCCAAGAAAUUGGGGCUAAUACCGGAUGUGACCGCUGGCCGCAUGGUCUGGUGGUGGAAAGGGUUUCCGGCUGGGGAUGGGCUCGCGGCCUAUCAGCUUGUUGGUGGGGUAGUGGCCUACCAAGGCGACGACGGGUAGCCGGCCUGAGAGGGUGACCGGCCACACUGGGACUGAGACACGGCCCAGACUCCUACGGGAGGCAGCAGUGGGGAAUAUUGCGCAAUGGGCGGAAGCCUGACGCAGCGACGCCGCGUGGGGGAUGACGGCCUUCGGGUUGUAAACCUCUUUCAGCAGGGACGAAGCGCAAGUGACGGUACCUGCAGAAGAAGCACCGGCCAACUACGUG
RNAcentral lists this ribosomal RNA (465 nucleotides) under uncultured bacterium. Its description in RNAcentral is "partial 16S ribosomal RNA". It matches the Rfam family "Bacterial small subunit ribosomal RNA", at positions 28 to 507 of the family's 1533-position model. The record is from RNAcentral.